AAUGAGAGGGUUCUCCGGUAUGAAAGGAUUCAUGAGGUCCACCAUAGUUCAAUAUGAGAGCGCUGCGACCCCGUGAAAACUUUCUCCUUUUUUUAAACAGGGUGGUAUUGUGUAACCGCAAUAUCUGAAAAUUACCAAUUUUCAACCAUAUUUCCACUGCGCGGUUGAAGUUGCAGUCAAUGUCUCAUAACUCUCUGUUUAUGUUGUGCUCUUGGACUGCCUCAUCUCUUCUCUCUUCCUCUGUGUACUCUUUAAUAUUUUGAUCCAGUUGAAGGUGAUUGCCCAAGUAGAAUUCUUGCGCCUCUCUCUCCCUCCGCACUAGUAGCAACAAGGAGAGAGAGAGAGAGAGAGAGAGAGAGAGAGAGAGAGAGAGAGAGAGAGAGAGAGAGAGAGAGAGAG
This 399-nucleotide long non-coding RNA is filed under the name Amborella trichopoda. Its description in RNAcentral is "long non-coding RNA (ATRI_LNC004000)". Lineage: Eukaryota; Viridiplantae; Streptophyta; Magnoliopsida; Amborellales; Amborellaceae. The record is from RNAcentral.